AAAGAGUAUAGUUUUGCAUUGUUUAUGUCCAACGUUCGACUGUUAAUAUUAUUUUUUUAAAAAAAUAUGAUUAGUAUUAUUAUUAUUAUUAGAUCAUAAAACAUGAAUAGUACUUUAUGUGUGACUAUUUUUUUUAUAUUUUCUCAUAAAUUUUGAAACAAGACGGACGAUCAAACGUUGAACACGGAAACCCACAUAUACAUUUAAA
Molecule: non-coding RNA, 208 nt
Organism: Oryza nivara
Lineage: Eukaryota; Viridiplantae; Streptophyta; Magnoliopsida; Poales; Poaceae
Source: Rfam